AUGGCACUUCUAGUCGCAUGGUGGUAGGGGCAGUGGGUGACUGAGCACCUGGAGAACAGAAAAGCCAUGAACCGGUGGGAAGAUGGGUGCAAAUGGGACAUGUUUGGGGCAGAAGUAAGUGGAUGAAUAGGGAAGAGAGGAGGAGUUCAAUUUUGGAUAUAGGAAGUUUGAGAUGCCUAGUAGCUAUCCAAAUGGGGAGAUCAAUAAGUGACUAGAUAGUUUGGAGCUGGCUGUAGAUAUAAAUCUGAAAGUUAGUGAUGUCGUUUGAAAGCCAUGAGAUUAGGUGAGCUCACUGAGGAAUAGAGAAAAAGAGGACCACCCCCGAAUCCAAGCUGUCUGACAUGAAAACUCGGGGAGGAGAAGAGAAACUGACAAAAACAGAUUGAAAAAGAGGGAUCAGUGUUGUAGGAGGAAGAUCUCAGAGAAGAGACGACCAACUUUGUCAGAUGGGCUGCUGUGUCAAAACCGCAUGGACGCUGAAUGGACGGCUGACGUCAGCAACAUAAAGACUGGAGAGAGACUCUUCCGCUGACCUUGAAGGAGUAAGCUGCUACCACGUGAACAGUUGAGAGACGACCGCGUGGUUUGGCACAGUGGGCAGCUUAAAGGAUCUGAGGCCUCAGUGAUGAAGUAGCAAGAACAUGAAUCCUGCCAGUACUUUGGCGUUCCUGGCCACUCUGGCCAACUGCAGGCCCUCGUUUGUGGGGGCCCACCUGGUUCACACUGACCUCACAGACAAGCAGGGCAGGCUGGCAGAUUUUGAAGGAAGGGCAUGCUCUGUUUUUUCUCUUAAGCUCACCGACAGAACACUCCCUCUUCCUCCCAAGCAGGGGCCUGAACAGGGCCAGAAUUGGGGCAAAGCCAGCGCAGGGUCAGAGUCUGUCUUGAUAUUCGAAGCCAGGGUUGAGUCCUCCUAACAGGGCGAGUUCUCUGACAAGGAAGUUUUGCAAGCAAAUUUACAGCUGGAGUCAAGCUCGUCAGUGAGGGCCAGAGGGGAACUGUCGCAAUCCACUGGGUGUUUGAAAAAUGCCUCUAACGUGUGUGGGCUAGAAUACAUUUUGUUUUUCUGUGGGCAUAUUCAUUUAACAAGGGCAGCCUUUGAGGAACGAUCAAAAACUGUUUGUCAUUUUUCCAAAUCAUCUCUCUCUGCGGUGACCAUGACUUAAUCCUGAAGGAAAACAAGUCUUUUCCCUUCUGGUCUCUGCGCUCUUGAAGGACAUUUGGAAGUCCCAGGACUUAAGGCUGAUCCUGGCACAGAUGAGGACAGGAAGAGGUGGUAAAGAAAAUAAGCUUACAAAUAUAGCCUACGAAACCACGCAUGAGUAAAUAAAGAACUAGGAGACGCCACUGCAGAGGAGAGGACGAGAAGCACCUGAGGGCAGAGGUGGGAAUGGGUGCAGAAGGGACUCUGACACAAUCGGAGAAGCUCCCACAAGCAUGGUGCCUGAUGCCUGACACAGCAAAGUGUAUCUACUCUAUUGCAAACGUCUUUACCUUUUUCA
Molecule: long non-coding RNA, 1502 nt
Organism: Herpailurus yagouaroundi (jaguarundi)
Lineage: Eukaryota; Metazoa; Chordata; Mammalia; Carnivora; Felidae
Exons: 6
Source: RefSeq, a predicted model, not a curated record